This 540-nucleotide ribosomal RNA is filed under the name Gluconobacter cerinus. RNAcentral's name for it is "bacterial SSU rRNA". It matches the Rfam family "Bacterial small subunit ribosomal RNA", at positions 100 to 674 of the family's 1533-position model. Lineage: Bacteria; Pseudomonadati; Pseudomonadota; Alphaproteobacteria; Acetobacterales; Acetobacteraceae. The record is from RNAcentral.
GACGGGUGAGUAACGCGUAGGGAUCUAUCCAUGGGUGGGGGACAACUCCGGGAAACUGGAGCUAAUACCGCAUGAUACCUGAGGGUCAAAGGCGCAAGUCGCCUGUGGAGGAACCUGCGUUCGAUUAGCUAGUUGGUGGGGUAAAGGCCUACCAAGGCGAUGAUCGAUAGCUGGUUUGAGAGGAUGAUCAGCCACACUGGGACUGAGACACGGCCCAGACUCCUACGGGAGGCAGCAGUGGGGAAUAUUGGACAAUGGGCGAAAGCCUGAUCCAGCAAUGCCGCGUGUGUGAAGAAGGUCUUCGGAUUGUAAAGCACUUUCGACGGGGACGAUGAUGACGGUACCCGUAGAAGAAGCCCCGGCUAACUUCGUGCCAGCAGCCGCGGUAAUACGAAGGGGGCUAGCGUUGCUCGGAAUGACUGGGCGUAAAGGGCGCGUAGGCGGUUUAUGCAGUCAGAUGUGAAAUCCCCGGGCUUAACCUGGGAACUGCAUUUGAGACGCAUAGACUAGAGGUCGAGAGAGGGUUGUGGAAUUCCCAGU